Molecule: ribosomal RNA, 334 nt
Filed under: uncultured eukaryote
Lineage: Eukaryota
Description: partial 18S ribosomal RNA
Rfam family: Eukaryotic small subunit ribosomal RNA
Source: RNAcentral
CCCUUAGAUGUCCGGGGCUGCACGCGCGCUACACUGACUGGCUCAGCGUGUGCCUACCCUACGCCGGCAGGCGCGGGUAACCCGUUGAACCCCAUUCGUGAUGGGGAUCGGGGAUUGCAAUUAUUCCCCAUGAACGAGGAAUUCCCAGUAAGUGUGGGUCAUAAGCUUGCGUUGAUUAAGUCCCUGCCCUUUGUACACACCGCCCGUCGCUACUACCGAUUGGAUGGUUUAGUGAGGCCCUCGGAUCGGCCCCGCCGGGGUCGGCCCACGGCCCUGGCGGAGCGCUGAGAAGACGGUCGAACUUGACUAUCUAGAGGAAGUAAAAGUCGUAACA